UGAGGACAUGACCCAGAAGAGACUCUACCACUUUUGAUGAUAGAACCACUUGCACAAUCACGAGGCUGUAAAUCCUUAUAGAAGCAUAUUCUUAGUUCCUCCACCGCAUCGCCUGAGCAUAUCAACUCUGGAGUUGCAUGAAAGGCAUUUUGAAUGGCUGAAAUGAUGCCUCCCAGUGGAUAUUUCUCAGAAUUUGAGGGUACAUACCCGGCUUCAAACAGAAUUCCAGUGACGUUAUAUUUGAAGUAAACA
This 252-nucleotide unclassified non-coding RNA is filed under the name Hevea brasiliensis (rubber tree). Lineage: Eukaryota; Viridiplantae; Streptophyta; Magnoliopsida; Malpighiales; Euphorbiaceae. The record is from RNAcentral.